Molecule: long non-coding RNA, 300 nt
Filed under: Homo sapiens (human)
Lineage: Eukaryota; Metazoa; Chordata; Mammalia; Primates; Hominidae
Description: non-protein coding lnc-KLHL25-9:1
Source: RNAcentral
CGAUGAAUCACGUGGGCAUCUUGUUAAAAUGCAGAGUUUUGAGUCGAGGGUCUGGGGAGGGCUGAGAUUGUGCACUUCUAAGGAGAUGCCAGGUGGUGCUAAUUCUGCUGCACUGGACACCACACUUAGAGUGGCGAGGUCACUAAAUAAUAGGAGCAAAAGGAUCGUGAGAACACCGACAUCAGUGAGAAGGAGGCUGGCUGCAGAGACCAUGAAAAUGAAAUCUAUGCAUGGAGUGCAAUCUUGCUGAGAACAAUUUGUUUCCUUUCUAUAUUGUCUCUCCAUGCCCUGCUCGCUCCC